RNAcentral lists this ribosomal RNA (1464 nucleotides) under uncultured organism. RNAcentral describes it as "16S ribosomal RNA". It matches the Rfam family "Bacterial small subunit ribosomal RNA". The record is from RNAcentral.
GACGAACGCUGGCGGCGUGCCUAAUACAUGCAAGUCGUACGCUUCUUUUUCCACCGGAGCUUGCUCCACCGGAAAAAGAAGAGUGGCGAACGGGUGAGUAACACGUGGGUAACCUGCCCAUCAGAAGGGGACAACACUUGGAAACAGGUGCUAAUACCGUAUAACAAUCGAAACCGCAUGGUUUUGAUUUGAAAGGCGCUUUCGGGUGUCGCUGAUGGAUGGACCCGCGGUGCAUUAGCUAGUUGGUGAGGUAACGGCUCACCAAGGCUACGAUGCAUAGCCGACCUGAGAGGGUGAUCGGCCACAUUGGGACUGAGACACGGCCCAAACUCCUACGGGAGGCAGCAGUAGGGAAUCUUCGGCAAUGGACGAAAGUCUGACCGAGCAACGCCGCGUGAGUGAAGAAGGUUUUCGGAUCGUAAAACUCUGUUGUUAGAGAAGAACAAGGAUGAGAGUAACUGUUCAUCCCUUGACGGUAUCUAACCAGAAAGCCACGGCUAACUACGUGCCAGCAGCCGCGGUAAUACGUAGGUGGCAAGCGUUGUCCGGAUUUAUUGGGCGUAAAGCGAGCGCAGGCGGUUUCUUAAGUCUGAUGUGAAAGCCCCCGGCUCAACCGGGGAGGGUCAUUGGAAACUGGGAGACUUGAGUGCAGAAGAGGAGAGUGGAAUUCCAUGUGUAGCGGUGAAAUGCGUAGAUAUAUGGAGGAACACCAGUGGCGAAGGCGGCUCUCUGGUCUGUAACUGACGCUGAGGCUCGAAAGCGUGGGGAGCAAACAGGAUUAGAUACCCUGGUAGUCCACGCCGUAAACGAUGAGUGCUAAGUGUUGGAGGGUUUCCGCCCUUCAGUGCUGCAGCUAACGCAUUAAGCACUCCGCCUGGGGAGUACGACCGCAAGGUUGAAACUCAAAGGAAUUGACGGGGGCCCGCACAAGCGGUGGAGCAUGUGGUUUAAUUCGAAGCAACGCGAAGAACCUUACCAGGUCUUGACAUCCUUUGACCACUCUAGAGAUAGAGCUUCCCCUUCGGGGGCAAGGUGACAGGUGGUGCAUGGUUGUCGUCAGCUCGUGUCGUGAGAUGUUGGGUUAAGUCCCGCAACGAGCGCAACCCUUAUUGUUAGUUGCCAUCAUUUAGUUGGGCACUCUAGCAAGACUGCCGGUGACAAACCGGAGGAAGGUGGGGAUGACGUCAAAUCAUCAUGCCCCUUAUGACCUGGGCUACACACGUGCCACAAUGGGAAGUACAACGAGUCGCGAAGUCGCGAGGCUAAGCUAAUCUCUUAAAGCUUCUCUCAGUUCGGAUUGUAGGCUGCAACUCGCCUACAUGAAGCCGGAAUCGCUAGUAAUCGCGGAUCAGCACGCCGCGGUGAAUACGUUCCCGGGCCUUGUACACACCGCCCGUCACACCACGAGAGUUUGUAACACCCGAAGUCGGUGAGGUAACCUUUUGGAGCCAGCCGCCUAAGGUG